CCUGAUGCAGCGACCGCGUGAGGGACGAAGGCCUUCGGGUUGUAAACCCUCACAGGGAAGAAGCGAAAGUGACGGUACCUGCAGAAGAAGCGCCGGCUAACUACGUGCCAGCAGCCGCGGUAAUACGUAGGGCGCAAGCGUUAUCCGGAAUUAUUGGGCGUAAAGAGCUCGUAGGCGGUUUGUCGCGUCUGCUGUGAAAGCCCGGGGCUCAACCCCGGGUCUGCAGUGGGUACGGGCAGACUAGAGUGCAGUAGGGGAGACUGGAAUUCCUGGUGUAGCGGUGAAAUGCGCAGAUAUCAGGAGGAACACCGAUGGCGAAGGCAGGUCUCUGGGCUGUAACUGACGCUGAGGAGCGAAAGCAUGGGGAGCGAACAGGAUUAGAUACCCUGGUAGUCCAUGCCGUAAACGUUGGGCACUAGGUGUGGGGGACAUUCCACGUUUUCCGCGCCGUAGCUAACGCAUUAAGUGCCCCGCCUGGG
This 479-nucleotide ribosomal RNA is filed under the name Agrococcus sp. 1S6 5. RNAcentral describes it as "bacterial SSU rRNA". It matches the Rfam family "Bacterial small subunit ribosomal RNA", at positions 382 to 877 of the family's 1533-position model. The record is from RNAcentral. Lineage: Bacteria; Bacillati; Actinomycetota; Actinomycetes; Micrococcales; Microbacteriaceae.